GACGAACGCUGGCGGCGUGCUUAACACAUGCAAGUCGAACGGAGAGGCCCUGCUUUUGUGGGGUGCUCGAGUGGCGAACGGGUGAGUAACACGUGAGUAACCUGCCCUUUACUUUGGGAUACCUUCAGGAAACUGGGGCUAAUACACGAUAGGAGCUCCUGCUGCAUGGUGUGGGUUGGUCAGUUUCGCUGGUUGGGGAUGGACUCGCGGCUUAUCAGCUUGUUGGGGGGGUAGUGGCUUACCAAGGCAUGGACGGGUAGCCGGCCUGGGAGGGUGACCGGGCACAAUGGGACUGAGGUAGGACCCAGAGUGCAACGGGAGGAAUCGGUGGAGAACAGUGCACAAUGGGCCGAAGGAGUAAGCAACGAUGCCGGGUGCGGGAUGACUGCCUUUGGGGUGUAAACCGCUUGCGCCUGUGACGAAGCGUGAGUGACGGUAACGGGUAAAGAAGCACCGGCUAACUACGUG
This 468-nucleotide ribosomal RNA is filed under the name uncultured bacterium. RNAcentral describes it as "partial 16S ribosomal RNA". It matches the Rfam family "Bacterial small subunit ribosomal RNA", at positions 28 to 507 of the family's 1533-position model. The record is from RNAcentral.